UCCUACGGGACGCAGCAGUGAGGAAUAUUGGUCAAUGGGCGCGAGCCUGAGCCAGCCAAGUCGCGUGAGGGAAGACGGUCCUAUGGAUUGUAAACCUCUUUUGUCGGGGAGCAAAAGACGCCACGUGUGGCGUUCCGAGAGUACCCGAAGAAAAAGCAUCGGCUAACUCCGUGCCAGCAGCCGCGGUAAUACGGAGGAUGCGAGCGUUAUCCGGAUUUAUUGGGUUUAAAGGGUGCGCAGGCGGAAGAUCAAGUCAGCGGUAAAAUUGAGAGGCUCAACCUAUUCGAGCCGUGGAAACUGGUUUU
RNAcentral lists this ribosomal RNA (305 nucleotides) under uncultured bacterium. RNAcentral's name for it is "bacterial SSU rRNA". It matches the Rfam family "Bacterial small subunit ribosomal RNA", at positions 337 to 640 of the family's 1533-position model. The record is from RNAcentral.